This 406-nucleotide ribosomal RNA is filed under the name uncultured bacterium. RNAcentral's name for it is "bacterial SSU rRNA". It matches the Rfam family "Bacterial small subunit ribosomal RNA", at positions 985 to 1393 of the family's 1533-position model. The record is from RNAcentral.
UGAUCACGGAAGUUCAGAGAUGAGAAUGGUGCUUCGGGAACCGUGAGACAGGUGCUGCAUGGCUGUCGUCAGCUCGUGUUGUGAAAUGUUGGGUUAAGUCCCGCAACGAGCGCAACCCUUAUCCUUUGUUGCCAGCGGUCCGGCCGGGAACUCAAAGGAGACUGCCAGUGAUAAACUGGAGGAAGGUGGGGAUGACGUCAAGUCAUCAUGGCCCUUACGACCAGGGCUACACACGUGCUACAAUGGCGCAUACAAAGAGAAGCGACCUCGCGAGAGCAAGCGGACCUCAUAAAGUGCGUCGUAGUCCGGAUUGGAGUCUGCAACUCGACUCCAUGAAGUCGGAAUCGCUAGUAAUCGUGGAUCAGAAUGCCACGGUGAAUACGUUCCCGGGUCUUGUACACACCGA